UUCCUUUACCGUGGCAUCGAAAGUGCCAAGCGGAGCGACUACGCGUAUCAUUCAGAGGCAUUCUCAGCAAGUUAGCAUCACUCCAGUUUAGUUUUGGUGCCUUUUGAUUUGACGUGGUGCCUUUUGAUCUGAGGUCAUUUCAACAAUGGAGAGUUUUCCGUUUCACGAUGGCAAUAUCUAUAAUUCUCUCGAUAGCAGACUCACUGACACUCGCCACGAUGUUAAUCAUAGUAUGCAAAUGCACUCGUCAAUGCUACGGAGGCUUUCGCAGGAAAGAGAAUUGGAGGGGCAUCAGGGUUGUGUGAAUGCCAUUUCUUGGAAUUCCACAGGUUCACUUCUGAUAUCUGGGUCAGAUGACACACGGAUCAACAUUUGGAGCUAUUCUAGUCGAAAGCUUUUGCAUUCCAUAGAGACUGGGCAUUCUGCAAACAUAUUCUGUACAAAAUUUGUCCCUGAAACUUCUGAUGAACUUGUGGUUUCUGGGGCUGGAGAUGCAGAAGUUCGGCUGUUCAAUCUUUCUCGAUUUAGUGGGAGAGGCCCUGAUGAAAAUGCUAUUCCUCCAUCAGCUCUGUAUCAUUGUCACACCAGAAGAGUAAAAAAAAUAGCAGUUGAAGUUGGAAACCCACAUGUGGUUUGGAGUGCAAGUGAAGAUGGGACUUUGAGACAGCAUGAUUUUCGGGAGGGUGCUUCUUGUCCUCCUGCUGGAUCUUCUCAUCAAGAAUGUCGUAAUGUUCUGCUUGAUUUACGUUGUGGGGCAAAGAGGUCUCUAGUUGAUCCCCCUAAACAAACUCUCGCUUUGAAGUCUUGUGAUAUUAGUUCCACUAGGCCUCAUUUACUCCUGGUUGGUGGGAGCGAUGCAUUUGCUCGUUUAUAUGAUAGAAGGAUGCUUACUCCAUUGACUUCUUGUCGAAAAAGAAUGUCACCACCACCUUGCAUUAACUAUUUCUGCCCAAUGCAUCUUUCUGAACAUGGUCGUUCUAACUUGCACCUGACACAUGUUACUUUUAGUCCAAAUGGAGAAGAGGUUCUCCUCAGUUAUAGCGGAGAGCAUGUAUAUCUUAUGGAUGUAAACCAGGCUUGUGGGAGUGCUAUGCGAUAUACUGCAGGAGAUGCUUCAAAAAUGAUGAGUUUCAUGCCUGUACUUGACAGGGUUGAAUUGCAUCCAUCAGUAUCUGAUGUUCCCUGCAAUGGUCUUGCUGCCAGGCUUGAAAAGUGCAGGAUGUUAAUUGAAAUUGCUGGAAAUUACUUAGAGGAAGGGGCUAAUCCUUUCUAUGGAGUUGAGGCAUGCAAUGAAGUUUUGGAAGGGCAUGGUAGUGAAAUUGGAUCCAUACUGAGGCAUGAAUGUCUUUGCACGCGUGCUGCCUUAUUGCUUAAGCGAAAGUGGAAAAAUGAUGCCUAUAUUGCCAUAAGAGAUUGCUACAACGCUCGAAGAAUUGAUAAUGCUUCCUUUGGAGCUCAUUACUAUAUGUCUGAAGCUCUAGAGCAGUUGUCCAAAUAUAAACAAGCUUUAGAAUUUGCUCUUGCCGCCCAAUGUCUGGAUCCAUCCAAUUCCAGUGUGGCAGAAAAGGUGGAGAACUUAAAGAAGCAAAUUGCUGCAGCUGAAUCGGCAAAAAAUAAAAAGGCAAAUGAUGGCGCGGCAAGGCCUGAACCUCGAUCUGGAAGAGUACUCUCAUUGAGUGAUAUACUCUACCGGUCAGAGGUUAAUAGUGAUGCUUCUCAAGAUGGUCCAAGGUCUGAAAGAGAAGAUUCUGAUUAUGAUGAAGAAUUGGAGGUGGACUUUGAAACAUCAAUAUCAGGUGAUGAAGGUCGUGAUGUUGAAUCCAAUGUUCUACAUGGAAGUUUGAAUCUGAGAAUCCAUCGAAGAGGUGAUGCCUCUAAAGAAAUUGGUGGAAAUGGUUCCUGUGGUUCACCUGCCUCAUCAUCUCAAAAUGAUUGGACGCCUUACGAGCCUGAGGCAGUUAUUGAUAUGAAACGUAGAUUUGUUGGCCACUGUAAUGUUGGAACUGACAUUAAGCAAGCCAGUUUUCUUGGUCAACGAGGUGACUAUGUUGCAAGCGGGAGUGAUGAUGGUAGAUGGUUUAUUUGGGAAAAGCGAACUGGCAGAUUGAUUAAAAUGCUUGUUGGAGAUGAUGCUGUUGUGAACUGCGUGCAGUGCCAUCCCUUUGAUUCUGUUGUGGCAACCAGUGGAAUUGAUAGCACAAUAAAGAUAUGGACUCCUACUGCUUCUGUUCCCUCAAUUGUUGCUGGAGGAGCGGCGGGACCUGAAACGGCUGAUGUAUUGGAAGCCAUGGAGAGCAAUCAACGAAAAUUAUGUCGUAGUCGUGAAGCUAUCCUGCCCUAUGAACUUCUUGAACGGUUUCGAAUGCAUGAAUUUUCUGAAGGAUCCCUGCAUCCAUUUGAGUGUGCUCAGAGCUAAUCAAUCAAGUGCAUAGUCCAGUGGCCGGCAGGUAAGUAAACUGUAUAUGUGAAGGAAUUCUUUUGAUUCAUGCUCUGUUGACAAUUUGCCAGUUAUGCUUACAGUUCCUGAAAAGAGACUACUUUAUGUUAUAUGAGAAGUUGACAUUCAAGGUCUCAUAGUUUGAGCCAUAACUGAAGCUAUGGAUCACUGGCUAUGUGAAUUUCAGCGAAGGAGGUACAGGCAAAUAAUUAGUCAUGGCUGUAAGAUGCUACCCUGUAAAGGCAUUUGGGUUCUAAAAAAAUUGUUGUAAAUUGAAUAAAGCACAGCCUGAGCCCCUAAGUUUACUAU
Molecule: RNA transcript, 2746 nt
Organism: Pistacia vera
Lineage: Eukaryota; Viridiplantae; Streptophyta; Magnoliopsida; Sapindales; Anacardiaceae
Gene name: WD and tetratricopeptide repeats protein 1
Exons: 20
Source: RefSeq, a predicted model, not a curated record